Long non-coding RNA from Antechinus flavipes (yellow-footed antechinus), 1250 nucleotides. RefSeq lists it as uncharacterized. The record is from RefSeq and is a predicted model, not a curated record. The transcript has 2 exons. Lineage: Eukaryota; Metazoa; Chordata; Mammalia; Dasyuromorphia; Dasyuridae.
UUAAAGCUUUCUAGGAAACAGACAAUGACUUGCCCAGGAUCACACGUUUAGUGUGAGAGGCAAUGUUGAACCCAGGUGCUUUAGCUUUGAGGUCAACUCUCUAGCUCUUUAGACAUGCUGUCUCUAGUUAGUUUUUUUUUUUUUCUUUUAAGUCUUUAUAUAAAUAGUCAGCUUAUUGAAGGGUCACAAAUUUGAGACUUCUUUCAAACUCAAACAUGGGUAUUGAUAAUUUUCGAGGUGCCCAAAUAUGGCUGUAAAGGAAGCAGAAGAAGAUGAAGAAGUUGAUGAGGAUAUUCUUAUAACAACACCACCCAAGAAAAUGCUUCAGCAGAAACAAAAGAAACGGAACAAGACUACUAUUUUCUGGCUUGGAGUUCCAAUCAAGGAUGGAGAAAGAAAUUAUUAUAAGGAAGUGUCCAUUAACUCUGAAAAACUAGAAGUAGGAGAUUGUGUAGCCAUCAGUCCUGAUGACCCUACUAAACCACUAUGGUUAGCUAGGUUUGUAUCCUAUGUCUCAUCUCUAAUUUUUUUUCUCCCCUUUCUGUGUAUUCCUCAUUUCAAUGUGUUUAGACAUAUUUCUCGGGGUCAGGGAAGCAUUCAAAUAGCCUUUUAAAAAACCAUUAUUUGACUAAUUCUUCACUGGGGAAUAUUUAUUAGAUUUUAUUUGUUGGAUCCCUACAUGAUUAUCAAACGAUUAUAAAAUACUUGAUGAAAGAUGUUUAUUCCCUUCUUAUAUUAGUAAUUUUGACUUUGUGGUUCAGAAGAUUUUUCAUUUUCAUAUAGUCAAAUUUGUCUAAUCAAUCUUUGAGAUUGCUUAACUUGGAACCCUUCCCCAUCCAUUAAAAGAAUACUGGUUGUAGUAUGUUGGCACAGCCCACUCAUGAGCAAUUCAUUCUCUUUAAAUCAUCUUUUAUCUUCUAAAAAGUUUUAUUUAACUUUUUUUUCACAUCAUAGUUAUCUCCAGAGUCUCUUCCUAGAAAGCCAUCUCAAAUAACAAAUAGUAUCUUUUAAAGACAAAAAGACAGGAUUAAAAAAAAAAAACUAUUUUCAAUGUUCAUGUAGCAUAUCUAUUUAGUUGCGGUAUAAAAUAUUGCCUAAGCAUAAUUUUUGCUAAACUACUUUAUAGUUUUAAUAGUACUUCUUGUUAACUAAGGAAUUCUUCCCCAAGAAAUAUUUCUGUUUUAUUAAGGUUAUUGAGUUGGAUUGAUUCUUUCUUGUUUAGAUUCUUGGACUGAACUUUUUUUUUUUUU